RNAcentral lists this ribosomal RNA (1194 nucleotides) under Snodgrassella alvi. RNAcentral's name for it is "bacterial LSU rRNA". It matches the Rfam family "Bacterial large subunit ribosomal RNA", at positions 1627 to 2815 of the family's 2925-position model. Lineage: Bacteria; Pseudomonadati; Pseudomonadota; Betaproteobacteria; Neisseriales; Neisseriaceae. The record is from RNAcentral.
UCAGUUUGAAUGAAACCGUACCGCAAACCGACACAGGUGGGUAGGAUGAGAAUUCUAAGGCGCUUGAGAGAACUCAGGAGAAGGAACUCGGCAAAUUGAUACCGUAACUUCGGGAGAAGGUAUGCCUCUUAUGGUGAAGGAUUAACUCUGUAAGCUAUGAGAGGUCGCAGAGAAUAGGUGGCUGCGACUGUUUAAUAAAAACACAGCACUCUGCAAACACGAAAGUGGACGUAUAGGGUGUGACGCCUGCCCGGUGCUGGAAGGUUAAUUGAAGAUGUGCAAGCAUCGGAUCGAAGCCCCAGUAAACGGCGGCCGUAACUAUAACGGUCCUAAGGUAGCGAAAUUCCUUGUCGGGUAAGUUCCGACCCGCACGAAUGGCGUAACGAUGGCCACACUGUCUCCUCCUGAGACUCAGCGAAGUUGAAAUGGUUGUGAAGAUGCAAUCUCCCCGCUGCUAGACGGAAAGACCCCGUGAACCUUUACUGUAGCUUUGCAUUGGACUUUGAAGUCACUUGUGUAGGAUAGGUGGGAGGCUAAGAAGCAGGAACGCUAGUUCUUGUGGAGCCGUCCUUGAAAUACCACCCUGGUGACUUUGAGGUUCUAACCCGGAUCCAUAAUCUGGAUCGGGGACCGUGCAUGGUAGGCAGUUUGACUGGGGCGGUCUCCUCCCAAAGAGUAACGGAGGAGUUCGAAGGUUACCUAGGUCCGGUCGGAAAUCGGACUGAUAGUACAAUGGCACAAGGUAGCUUAACUGCGAGACCGACAAGUCGAGCAGGUGCGAAAGCAGGACAUAGUGAUCCGGUGGUUCUGAAUGGAAGGGCCAUCGCUCAACGGAUAAAAGGUACUCCGGGGAUAACAGGCUGAUUCCGCCCAAGAGUUCAUAUCGACGGCGGAGUUUGGCACCUCGAUGUCGGCUCAUCACAUCCUGGGGCUGUAGUCGGUCCCAAGGGUAUGGCUGUUCGCCAUUUAAAGUGGUACGUGAGCUGGGUUUAAAACGUCGUGAGACAGUUUGGUCCCUAUCUGCAGUGGGCGUUGGAAGUUUGACGGGGGCUGCUCCUAGUACGAGAGGACCGGAGUGGACGAACCUCUGGUGUACCGGUUGUGACGCCAGUCGCAUCGCCGGGUAGCUAAGUUCGGAAGAGAUAAACGCUGAAAGCAUCUAAGCGUGAAACUCGCCUGAAGAUGAGACUUCCC